UAAUUUCGUUUUUGAUUUUUUUUAUUGCUUAAUUAUGUGGAAUACCAAUGAUUUUGAUUUUGUUUAUCGCUUAUUUUCAUGAUUUAAGGUUUUUAAUCAUACUGGGUAUUAAAGUUAUUGUGUACAUACUUAAGAUUUUGAUUUUUACAUGGCUACCUCCGUUUAGAUUAAGAAUUGGUAAAAAUUGUUGAAGAAGAUAGCACUUUAAUGAUGGCUUCCGUUAAUUUAUUUAUUAUUUGUUUUUUUACUAAUGAGAUUAGUAAGGUAUUACCAAGAAGGGUAUGAAGAUUGGUAUAACAAUCGCAUUAUAGAUAACGGGUGUUGUAAUCUACUUUGGAGUUUAUCUCUAACCUGCUUUAGAGUUGAGUUUUAUCAAUUAUUAUAUAUCUAAUCUAUUUUGGCUUGAAAUUGUAAUGAUCAAAGUUGUUUGUUAAUUCUAUUCAAUACGUUUUGGUUUUAUAUGUAAGUAAGCUUGAUGUUAUCUCUGCUAUUUGUUGAUUCUGAAGAAACAUGAGCCAAAGGCUGCAGUGAUUAGAGUAGCAAAAGUUUUCAUUGAUUGUUUUCUUGCCUCUUUUUUUUUCUGUAUGAUUUGAUUAGUUUUAAGAGGUCGUUACGAUGAAUUUCAAUGCGUCGAGUGAAAUCGAGCAAAGAUGAGAUUAUCCGCAUCUUGGCGGGGCAACCUGGAUGGUCAUGUGAAAGAUUGAAUGAGUUUGUGCUAUCACAUGGCAACCGGUAAGUAUGCAGCCAUGGUGGAUUUAUCCUCUUUUGUUUGAUUGUUUAUACAUCUGAGCAUCAAAAUUGAUUUAUCCUGAUUUUUAGUCACUUGGUUUUAUGUAUCUGUGAAUUAAUACGGUAUAUUUGUUUUUUUUUUUUUUUGUGGUACACAUAGUUUCCCGUGUUUGAUCCAAAUUUAGAUUUUGCUUUGAAUUUACAGUUUUGCUACUAUGUUAAUUAUUUUUGAUGAUUGUUUGCUGGUCAAUUUAAGGUUUAUAUGUGUUUCAUAUUGCUGGUCAAUUUUGGAGGGUGCCCAUUUGUAUUUUCUUUUGUACGAUGAUUUAAAAGAUUCUUUUACACAUUACAAAUACAUGUUAGGUGGCUUUCAAUUAUUUUAAUUUGUUUUUAUUGAAAACUUUUGAAUCAAAGAUUCAAAGAUAGAGGUGUUGUUGAAUAACUGAGAUGUUAUAUCUUAUCAAAUGAAUGAAAAUCGUGCGAAAUGGGCUGAAGUAAACUGCCAUUUAUUUGAGCAAUCCAACAGUUGCGGCGGUGACAAGGAAUACGUUUCCGGCCACCCUUUUUCCGUUGAAGUUCUGGUCAACUUCUGCUUCUGAUUACACAUAUUUGAUGAAGACCGGCCUCUGCAGCAACUUUGUUCUACAGUGUGGCUGUUCGAAACCCUGGUUCUUGGCCAAGCAAAGUUUAGCAUCAUAUACAAGUACUUGGCUAAGCAAAGGGUGGGUAAAAAGAAACUGCAGUUGGUUGGUUCUGUUGUCAUGCUUUUGGCUUGACGAAGUUUCAGGACUUUUAUCUCUCAUUUUCACCUUUGGCGCAUAUAUUGAUCAGCUGAUGCGUAGCAAUGCUUUAUUAAUCAUAUUGCAUCUAAAGGAUUUUGGUGUGGGGUGAAUGGUCUGCGAGCUGCAAUGAUUUAUGCAUGGGUCUGCAACACAUAUCGCUCAAGGCCACAUGUUUUAUGUUUUAAAUUCACAAGCAUGUGGAUGCUAUGUCGCUUUACGAAGAGUUAAAACCAUAAAUGGUGUCAGUGGCGAUGAAGAUUUAUUUCUGUAUGUAUACCUCUACAUCUGUGUUGGCGAUGAAGAAUUCUUUCUUUCUGCAUAUAAUGUUUCAGAGCAUAAUAAGUUAGCGGACUUUGUGUGAAAGUGGGCCCGUAUCUUGGCGUGGCAACCUGGAUUGUGAUGCAGCCAUGACGGGGCCCUACCCACUUUGUUCUCUUUCCUAUGUGCAGCUCAUGAGCCCAAAAAAACAAUUUUUUUUCAAGUUUUAUUCUCAGUCACUACAUCAACCACUAUAGUUUCUACUGAAAGUCGCAUACAACCAACCUCUGUUCAGGUGUGUUGUUUGAUUUACAGUUUUUGUGUUUCUUUUUUUUUUUGUACAAAUAUGGUGGUGGAGCUUGAUAAUAUGUGCUUUGCUUUGAUCGUGUGAGUUUUAUCGUAUUUGUGAACCAUUUUACUUGCUAUGUGAUGAUUUUGAUCUGUUUGUAGAGGGUGAUUUUGGGAGGGAAUCACUCAAAAUAUACGGAGGUCCAUGAUUUAUGGUGUAAGAGAUGUGGUUGUGGUGUUUGGGUUGGCUGCAGUGGCGAUGAAGAUUUCUUUCUGUAUGUAUACCUCUGCAUCUGUGUUAAAGAUGAAGAUUUCUUUCUUUCUACAUAUAAUGCUUCCGAGCAUAAUAAGUUAGCGGACUUUGUGUGAAAGUGGGUCCAUAUCUUGGCGGGGCAACCUGGAUUCUGAUGCAGCCAUGACGGAGCCUCACCCACUUUGUUCUCUUUCAUAUGUGCAGAUCUGAGCCCCUAAAAAAAAUUGUCAAGUUUUAUUCUCAAUCACUACAUCAACCACUAUAGUUUCUAAUGAAAGUCACGUACAACCAACCUCUGUUCAGAGCUUGAUUUUGGGAGGGAAUCAUUCUAAAUAUACGGAGGUCCAUGAUUUAUGUUGUAAGAGAUGUGGUUGUGGUGUUUGGGUUGGCUGUAGUGGCGAUGAAGAUUUAUUUCUGUAUGUAUAUAUCUGCAUCUGUGUUGGCGAUGAAGAUUUCUUUGUUUCUGCGUAUAAUGUUUCCGAGCAUAAUAAGUUUGAGGACUUUGUGUGAAAGUGGACCCGUAUCUUGGCGGGGCAACCUGGAUUGUGAUGCAGCUAUGACAGGGCCCUACCCACUUUGUUCUCUUUCAUAUGAGCCAAAAAAAAAAAACAAUUUUUUGUCAAUUUUUAUUCUCAAUCACUACAUCAACCACUAUAGUUUCUACUGGAAGUCGCAUACAACCAACCUCUGUUCAGAGCGUGAUUUUGGGAGGGAAUCAUUCUAAAUAUACGGAGGUCCAUGAUUAAAUGCUCACUCGAGAUUCACCAUUAAUUUUGAGGUCAAUUUGGUUUUCUUCAAUGGUAUUUUGGGAAAUCGAUCUGUAGGUUCAUGUUGAUUGUGGUUCUUUAUACUUCAAGAUUUGGAGGGUGCCCAUUUGUAUUUUCUUUUGUACGAUGAUUUAAAAGAUUCUUUUACACAUUACAAAUACAUGUUAGGUGGCUUUCAAUUAUUUUAAUUUGUUUUUAUUGAAAACUUUUGAAUCAAAGAUUCAAAGAUAGAGGUGUUGUUGAAUAACUGAGAUGUUAUAUCUUAUCAAAUGAAUGAAAAUCGCGCGAAAUGGGCUGAAGUAAACUGCCAUUUAUUUGAGCAAUCCAACAGUUGCGGCGGUGACAAGGAAUACGUUUCCGGCCACCCUUUUUCCGUUGAAGUUCUGGUCAACUUCUGCUUCUGAUUACACAUAUUUGAUGAAGACCGGCCUCUGCAGCAACUUUGUUCUACAGUGUGGCUGUUCGAAACCCCGGUGCGUUUCUAAUCUUGAGGUGGUUUUAAAGUCUUCAUCGGGUUCUUGGCCAAGCAAAGUUUAGCAUCAUAUACAAGUACUUGGCUAAGCAAAGGGUGGGUAAAAAGAAACUGCUGUUGGUUGGUUCUGUUGUCAUGCUUUUGGCUUGACGAAGUUUCAGGACUUUUAUCUCUCAUUUUCACCUUUGGCGCAUAUAUUGAUCAGCUGAUGCGUAGCAAUGCUUUAUUAAUCAUAUUGCAUCUAAAGGAUUUUGGUGUGGGGUGAAUGGUCUGAGUUUGAGGUAAAAUUGGUUUGUGAAGAUCUGCGAGCUGCAAUGAUUUAUGCAUGGGUCUGCAACACAUAUCGCUCAAGGCCACAUGUUUUAUGUUUGAAAUUCACAAGCAUGUGGAUGCUAUGUCGCUUUACGAAGAGUUAAAACCAUAAAUGGUGUCAGUGGCGAUGAAGAUUUAUUUCUUCACUACAUCAACCACUAUAGUUUCUACUGAAAGUCGCAUACAACCAACCUCUAUUCAGAGGGUGAUUUUGGGAGGGAAUCACUCAAAAUAUACGGAGGUCCAUGAUUUAUGGUGUAAGAGAUAUGGUUGUGGUGUUUUGGUUGGCUGCAGUGGCGACGAAGAUUUCUUUCUGUAUGUAUACCUCUGCAUCUGUGUUAGCGAUGAAAAUUUCUUUCUUUCUACAUAUAGUGCUUCCGAGCAUAAUAAGUUAGCGGACUUUGUGUGAAAGUGGGUCCAUAUCUUGGCGGGGCAACCUGGAUUCUGAUGUAGCCAUGACGGAGCCCCACCCACUUUGUUCUCUUUCAUAUGUGCAGAUCUGAGCCCCCAAAAAAAAUUGUCAAGUUUUAUUCUCAAUCACUACAUCAACCACUAUAGUUUCUACUGAAAGUCACGUACAACCAACCUCUGUUCAGGUGUGUUGUUUGAUAUACAGUUUUUGUGUUCGUUUUUUUUUUUGUACAAAUAUGGUGGUGAAGAAUGAUAAUAUGCACUUCGCUUUGAUCGUGUGAGUUUUAUUGUAUUUGUGAACCAUUUUACUUGCUAUGUAAUGAUUUUAAUCUGUUUGUA
This is an RNA transcript of Helianthus annuus (common sunflower), 4611 nucleotides long. RefSeq lists it as uncharacterized. The record is from RefSeq and is a predicted model, not a curated record. NCBI's taxonomy places the organism in Eukaryota, Viridiplantae, Streptophyta, Magnoliopsida, Asterales, Asteraceae. The transcript has 11 exons.